Long non-coding RNA from Ictalurus punctatus (channel catfish), 1447 nucleotides. The record is from Ensembl. Lineage: Eukaryota; Metazoa; Chordata; Actinopteri; Siluriformes; Ictaluridae.
CGUAGAGUGCAGGAACCAGAAUGAACGUGGGAACGUGACGUGUUAACCCUGACGGAGAAGAAACGGCGUAGUCGUUCACGGCACCAUCCCUUUAAACGCAUCCACUUCACGAACCUACGCAGCGCUCAGACGGAUAAAAGCGCCGGGGCGGGAUGAGAGCGGGAAACCCGCGGAGCUCGGCGAACAGGCUUUUCCUGUCGGUCCUGUGCGCCGGAACAGAUGUGCGACAGUGAAAACAAACCCUAACCCGUUCCUGUUUCUUCGUUCUAAGUUCGAACGCUAGCCGGGUUCCUCGGACCGUACCACUCCACGGAGACCGCGCUUCCUACACAAGAUCAUACGCCAAGCCGUACGCAAACUUUUGUGCGCUCAGAAUGAAGCGGGUUUGAUGCGUUCACUCGUGACCGUCUCGUAGCGAUCUAAAACAGAAUUUCCAGAGCCUCAGCUGCCCUCGCUUUAACAGCGACGACUGGUGUCAAUCAAACCAGACCCCGCCCCCUUUCGGCAGCCCCGUUCACCAGAGCGAGAAAGCGUAUCCGUUCGGCCCUAAAGAAGACGACCCGGCGGUCAUCGACGAAUCGGACGGCGACUGGACCGGCGGGAAGGAGCGAGAGCCUCCGUGGGCGGAGCUGUGCGGGUUGAGGAGGGACGUGCUGGGCGGAGAACUCGACAUCGAGCAGAUCGAGAGAAACUGAGACUCGGAGAACGUCUUCACGUCCCCGGUUCUCGUGUUCCUCCACGUCCUGUAGCGAGUCGUGCUUUCCGGAAUGGGACUCAGGAGAAAUGGACGCUCACGAAUUUGUGGGACGUUAGGAUGACUCAGGUUGUAUCUCGGAAUAAAAAAAAAAAAAAAAGCAGAGUGGAUUGUGGGAUAUCGGGGGUUCUGCGCGCGCUCUGUUGCAGAUAUUGUAGCUUCUUCUUCUUCUUCUUCUUCUGUAAAGGAACGAAACGAUGGCGUACGUUCUCAGAGUCCGACCUGCCUGUCUGUCUGUGCUGAAUGACGAGUGAACGGAGCCAAAAUAUAAAUCUAUAUUUUAAGGAUGUAUUAGUUUUUGUUUGUUUGUUUGUUUGUUUGUUUUUCUGCUCCGUUCAUCUGAAAAAACACGGCAUCACGAAGAAGGACGGAAAGGAAAACGAGAAGGUUCUGAGAGACGACUGCCGUGAAACCGAGGACUUACUGUUGAACUUGCACUGGCAUUGAACACGCACACACCUCACACACACACACACACACACACACACACACACACACACAGUGAAAAGCUUGGAAAGGGUUUCAGGUUUUAAUAACGUCGGGCGAUAAUUUCAAGCUAAUAAGAGUUUAAUUCCUCUUUUUACGAAGUAUAACGUAAAAUGUACUUAUUUCUAUACGAAUAAACAUUUAAAGUGUGUUUGUAAACUGGCUGUAGACGUGUGUGUGUGUGUGUGUGUGUGUGUGUGUGGGUGU